UUCUGUAAGCCUGUGAAGGUGAGUUGAGAAGCUUGCUGGAGGUAUCAGAAGUGCGAAUGCUGACAUGAGUAACGACAAUGGGUGUGAAAAACACCCACGCCGAAAGACCAAGGGUUCCUGCGCAACGUUAAUCGACGCAGGGUUAGUCGGUUCCUAAGGCGAGGCUGAAAAGCGUAGUCGAUGGGAAACAGGUUAAUAUUCCUGUACUUCUGGUUACUGCGAUGGAGGGACGGAGAAGGCUAGGCCAGCUUGGCGUUGGUUGUCCAAGUUUAAGGUGGUAGGCUGAAAUCUUAGGUAAAUCCGGGGUUUCAAGGCCGAGAGCUGAUGACGAGUCGUCUUUUAGAUGACGAAGUGGUUGAUGCCAUGCUUCCAAGAAAAGCUUCUAAGCUUCAGGUAACCAGGAACCGUACCCCAAACCGACACAGGUGGUCGGGUAGAGAAUACCAAGGCGCUUGAGAGAACUCGGGUGAAGGAACUAGGCAAAAUGGCACCGUAACUUCGGGAGAAGGUGCGCCGGCUAGGGUGAAGGAUUUACUCCGUAAGCCCUGGCUGGUCGAAGAUACCAGGCCGCUGCGACUGUUUAUUAAAAACACAGCACUCUGCAAACACGAAAGUGGACGUAUAGGGUGUGACGCCUGCCCGGUGCCGGAAGGUUAAUUGAUGGGGUUAGCGCAAGCGAAGCUCUUGAUCGAAGCCCCGGUAAACGGCGGCCGUAACUAUAACGGUCCUAAGGUAGCGAAAUUCCUUGUCGGGUAAGUUCCGACCUGCACGAAUGGCGUAACGAUGGCGGCGCUGUCUCCACCCGAGACUCAGUGAAAUUGAAAUCGCUGUGAAGAUGCAGUGUAUCCGCGGCUAGACGGAAAGACCCCGUGAACCUUUACUGUAGCUUUGCACUGGACUUUGAGCCUGCUUGUGUAGGAUAGGUGGGAGGCUUUGAAGCGUGGACGCCAGUUCGCGUGGAGCCAUCCUUGAAAUACCACCCUGGCAUGCUUGAGGUUCUAACUCUGGUCCGUGAUCCGGAUCGAGGACAGUGUAUGGUGGGCAGUUUGACUGGGGCGGUCUCCUCCUAAAGAGUAACGGAGGAGUACGAAGGUGCGCUCAGACCGGUCGGAAAUCGGUCGCAGAGUAUAAAGGCAAAAGCGCGCUUGACUGCGAGACAGACACGUCGAGCAGGUACGAAAGUAGGUCUUAGUGAUCCGGUGGUUCUGUAUGGAAGGGCCAUCGCUCAACGGAUAAAAGGUACUCCGGGGAUAACAGGCUGAUACCGCCCAAGAGUUCAUAUCGACGGCGGUGUUUGGCACCUCGAUGUCGGCUCAUCACAUCCUGGGGCUGAAGCCGGUCCCAAGGGUAUGGCUGUUCGCCAUUUAAAGUGGUACGCGAGCUGGGUUUAGAACGUCGUGAGACAGUUCGGUCCCUAUCUGCCGUGGACGUUUGAGAUUUGAGAGGGGCUGCUCCUAGUACGAGAGGACCGGAGUGGACGAACCUCUGGUGUUCCGGUUGUCACGCCAGUGGCAUUGCCGGGUAGCUAUGUUCGGAAAAGAUAACCGCUGAAAGCAUCUAAGCGGGAAACUUGCCUCAAGAUGAGAUCUCACUGGGAACUUGAUUCCCCUGAAGGGCCGUCGAAGACUACGACGUUGAUAGGCUGGGUGUGUAAGCGUUGUGAGGCGUUGAGCUAACCAGUACUAAUUGCCCGUGAGGCUUGACCAU
RNAcentral lists this ribosomal RNA (1707 nucleotides) under Pseudomonas aeruginosa. RNAcentral describes it as "partial 23S ribosomal RNA". It matches the Rfam family "Bacterial large subunit ribosomal RNA", at positions 1239 to 2925 of the family's 2925-position model. Lineage: Bacteria; Pseudomonadati; Pseudomonadota; Gammaproteobacteria; Pseudomonadales; Pseudomonadaceae. The record is from RNAcentral.